This 658-nucleotide long non-coding RNA is filed under the name Homo sapiens (human). RNAcentral describes it as "HSALNT0244083". The record is from RNAcentral. Lineage: Eukaryota; Metazoa; Chordata; Mammalia; Primates; Hominidae.
GAGACGGGGUUUCACCAUGUUGGCCAGGCUGGUCUGGAACUCCCAACCUCAGGUGAUCCACCCGCCUUGGCCUCCCAAAGUGCUGGGAUUACAGGCGUGAGCCACUGCGCCCGGCCUCUUCAUGAUUUUAUGUUAUUCCAAGCAACUUAUUUUCACAUGGAUUAUUUGCAAGUGGGUAAGCCAUUAUUCGUGUGCAUUUUGCAUGGGCAAAGCCCUUCUAUCUCUUUCUUAAAAAGAACAUUAAGGCUAUGUGUAAGAAUGAAAUGUUAGGAUCAAUGAUUUUCUCAACCAACAUCAAACAAUAGAUGAACUUGAUCAGCAUGGUUCACAAAAGGUGAUGCUCCUCAGCCAAUCUCUAAAAGAACCAGUCGCAUGUUUCAAACAGCACCAGAGCACCACAGAGCACGAUGGGCAUGCCAGACCCCCUCACUGCCAACCAUCCUGGCCCAGGACAACGAUGGCAGCAAUGAUGAUGACAAUGAAAGAUGUUGUUGAAGACGAUGCUGGCCAUCAUCUGAGGGCCCCAUAGAAACCAGAUACUUCCGGCAUAUUUUUCAAUACAGUCUCUCCAUUCCUUACGAUAUCCCUGCAAAGGUGUCCUUAUGCAGGGGAGCCUUUCUGUAUUAAAGUGAAAUUUAACGCCACAGAUAUUUACCCU